RNAcentral lists this long non-coding RNA (670 nucleotides) under Daucus carota (carrot). Its description in RNAcentral is "long non-coding RNA (DCAR_LNC000121)". Lineage: Eukaryota; Viridiplantae; Streptophyta; Magnoliopsida; Apiales; Apiaceae. The record is from RNAcentral.
UGGUAUACAUUUUGCAUGCAGUGUGUCGUUGAGUGUUGACUCGUAGAUGAAAUUAUAACUAUAGUUGGUUGACAUCUAUCUACGCAUGUAUAGAAACUUAAAGAAAGAAAAGGUGUGAAAAAGAAUUAUUCCAUCUUGAUGGAAAAUUAUAAUGAUGGAAACAUGUGUUUCUGGUUUAUUAAGUUUUUCAAGAAUGGUGUUCGUCAGUGUUUAGGUCUGGAGGCUGAACCUUCGCCUGCUGGGACAUCUGAUGGUUCAAAGUCAUCAGCUCAUAUAGAAGGUGAAGAAGAAGAAGCAUUGGAUGUAAGUUUCUCAGCUGGAACUGAUUAUACUAUGCCUGUUGAUACAGAUCAAGAAACGCCAGCUACUGUGAGCUCUCUGCCUUUACCUCUCUAACAUGAUUAGUAAUUUAGAAUUGUACUCUAUCAAUUUGUUUUAAAAAAUGAAUUCGUUUGAUUUUUACCACCCAUUUUUCCAUUAUAUAUUCCGUCUUACUUUGACGUCUUUUUACUGGAGCUUACGACGGUGAAAAUAUUCCGCCGUAAAGUAUUACGACGGAAAGAACAUAGUCGGUCAUAAAUUGUCUUGUUUAAAUAUUUUCCCUUAACCUUAAUUUAAAAAGAAUAAUCAGAAAGUACCCGUAUGUUCUUACGCCGGCGGCAUUUUACUA